UUCAUUUUGUGGAAUCUUUUAGAUGCUGC
This 29-nucleotide non-coding RNA is filed under the name Rattus norvegicus (Norway rat). The record is from RNAcentral. Lineage: Eukaryota; Metazoa; Chordata; Mammalia; Rodentia; Muridae.